GACGGAGGAGGCUAGCGUUGUUCGGAAUUACUGGGCGUAAAGCGCGCGCAGGCGGUUUUGCAAGUCAGGGGUGAAAGCCCGGGGCUCAACCUCGGAACUGCCCUUGAGACUGCGAGACUCGAGACCGGGAGAGGAGAGUGGAAUUCCCAGUGUAGAGGUGAAAUUCGUAGAUAUUGGGAAGAACACCAGUGGCGAAGGCGGCUCUCUGGCCCGGUACUGACGCUGAGGCGCGAAAGCGUGGGGAGCAAACAGG
RNAcentral lists this ribosomal RNA (253 nucleotides) under uncultured bacterium. RNAcentral's name for it is "partial 16S ribosomal RNA". It matches the Rfam family "Bacterial small subunit ribosomal RNA", at positions 524 to 776 of the family's 1533-position model. The record is from RNAcentral. RNAcentral also lists the same sequence under 2 other names.